RNAcentral lists this ribosomal RNA (368 nucleotides) under uncultured bacterium. RNAcentral describes it as "partial 16S ribosomal RNA". It matches the Rfam family "Bacterial small subunit ribosomal RNA", at positions 338 to 698 of the family's 1533-position model. The record is from RNAcentral.
CCUACGGGGGGCAGCAGUGGGGAAUAUUGCGCAAUUGUCUAAAGCCUUACUCAUCUACUCCUCUUUAUUGAUGAAGGUCUUCUUAUCGUAAACCUCUGUCAGCAGGGUAGAACGGUCACUGUUCUAAUCAGCAGUGAAUUGACGGUACCUGCAAAGGAAGCACCGGCUAACUCCGUGCCAGCAGCCGCGGUAAUACGGAGGGUGCGAGCGUUACUCGGAAUUACUGGGCGUAAAGCGCUCGUAGGCGGUAUGUCAAGUCAAGGGUGAAAUCCCCGCGCUCACCGUGGGAACUGCCUUUGAAACUGGCGAACUGGAGUGUGUGAGAGGUUAGUGGAAUGCCAGGUGUAGGAGUGAAAUCCGUAGAGAUC